UUGAUUGAUUGAUUGAUUUCAGUUUUUUCCAACUGCUAACACACUAAAAUGACACGCAUAGCCCAAUUAUUUAAACUGACACACAGAGAGCAAAAUCUCU
Thalassophryne amazonica is the source of this 100-nucleotide long non-coding RNA. RefSeq lists it as uncharacterized. The record is from RefSeq and is a predicted model, not a curated record. Lineage: Eukaryota; Metazoa; Chordata; Actinopteri; Batrachoidiformes; Batrachoididae. The transcript has 3 exons.